UACGGAGGGUGCAAGCGUUAUCCUGAAUCACUGGGAUUAAAGGGUGCGUAGGCGGCUUAGUAAGUCAGGAGUGAAAGCCUGCGGCUUAACCGUAGAAAUGCUUUUGAUACUGCUGAGCUUGAAUUAGGUUGAGGUUGGCGGAAUGUGACAUGUAGCGGUGAAAUGCAUAGAUAUGUCAUAGAACACCAAUUGCGAAGGCAGCUGACUAGACCUUAAUUGACGCUGAGGCACGAAAGCGCGGGGAGCGAACAGG
Molecule: ribosomal RNA, 253 nt
Filed under: uncultured bacterium
Lineage: Bacteria
Description: partial 16S ribosomal RNA
Rfam family: Bacterial small subunit ribosomal RNA
Source: RNAcentral